This is an unclassified non-coding RNA of Prolemur simus (greater bamboo lemur), 102 nucleotides long. It matches the Rfam family "Y RNA". From Rfam's summary of the family: Y RNAs are components of the Ro ribonucleoprotein particle (Ro RNP), in association with Ro60 and La proteins. The Y RNAs and Ro60 and La proteins are well conserved, but the function of the Ro RNP is not known. The record is from Ensembl. NCBI's taxonomy places the organism in Eukaryota, Metazoa, Chordata, Mammalia, Primates, Lemuridae.
GGCUGGACCAAGUGCAGUGGUGUUUACAACUAAUUGAUCACAACCAGUUACAGGUUCCUUUGUUCUUUCUCCACUCCCACUGCUUCGGUUGACUAGCCUUAA